GAACGCUGGCGGCAGGCUUAACACAUGCAAGUCGAACGCCCUCUUCGGAGGGAGUGGCAGACGGGUGAGUAACACGUGGGAACCUACCUAGGGGUACGGAAUAACUCGGGGAAACUCGUGCUAAUACCGUAUACGACCUUCGGGUGAAAGAUUUAUCGCCCCUAGAUGGGCCCGCGCUGGAUUAGCUAGUUGGUGGGGUAAAAGCCUACCAAGGCGACGAUCCAUAGCUGGUCUGAGAGGAUGAUCAGCCACACUGGGACUGAGACACGGCCCAGACUCCUACGGGAGGCAGCAGUGGGGAAUCUUGGACAAUGGGGGAAACCCUGAUCCAGCCAUGCCGCGUGAGUGAUGAAGGCCUUAGGGUUGUAAAGCUCUUUCGCCAGGGAAGAUAAUGACGGUACCUGGAUAAGAAGCCCCGGCUAA
This 423-nucleotide ribosomal RNA is filed under the name uncultured bacterium. RNAcentral describes it as "bacterial SSU rRNA". It matches the Rfam family "Bacterial small subunit ribosomal RNA", at positions 31 to 500 of the family's 1533-position model. The record is from RNAcentral.